This 253-nucleotide ribosomal RNA is filed under the name uncultured bacterium. RNAcentral describes it as "partial 16S ribosomal RNA". It matches the Rfam family "Bacterial small subunit ribosomal RNA", at positions 524 to 776 of the family's 1533-position model. The record is from RNAcentral.
UACGUAUGGUGCAAGCGUUAUCCGGAUUUACUGGGUGUAAAGGGAGCGCAGGCGGCACGGCAAGCCUGAUGUGAAAGCCCGCGGCCCAACCGCGGGACUGCAUUGGGAACUACCGGGCUGGAGUGCCGGAGAGGUAGGCGGAAUUCCUAGUGUAGCGGUGAAAUGCGUAGAUAUUAGGAGGAACACCAGUGGCGAAGGCGGCCUACUGGACGGUGACUGACGCUGAGGCUCGAAAGCGUGGGGAGCGAACAGG